UGGGCUUUGCCCGCUUUCUGAGCUGGACCCUCUCUCUACCUCUGGUGCAGAACUACAGCGGAAGGAGUCUCUG
MicroRNA precursor from Aotus nancymaae (Ma's night monkey), 73 nucleotides. NCBI's taxonomy places the organism in Eukaryota, Metazoa, Chordata, Mammalia, Primates, Aotidae. The record is from Ensembl.